This 500-nucleotide ribosomal RNA is filed under the name uncultured bacterium. RNAcentral describes it as "partial 16S ribosomal RNA". It matches the Rfam family "Bacterial small subunit ribosomal RNA", at positions 30 to 523 of the family's 1533-position model. The record is from RNAcentral.
AUUGAACGCUGGCGGAAUGCUUUACACAUGCAAGUCGAACGGCAGCACGGACUUCGGUCUGGUGGCGAGUGGCGAACGGGUGAGUAAUGUAUCGGAACGUGCCCAGUCGUGGGGGAUAACGUAGUGAAAAUUACGCUAAUACCGCAUACGAUCUAUGGAUGAAAGCGGGGGACCGCAAGACCUCGCGCGAUUGGAGCGGCCGAUAGCAGAUUAGGUAGUUGGUGGGGUAAAGGCCCCCCAAGCCAACGAUCUGUAGCUGGUCUGAGAGGACGACCAGCCACACUGGAACUGAGACACGGUCCAGACUCCUACGGGAGGCAGCAGUGGGGAAUUUUGGACAAUGGGCGAAAGCCUGAUCCAGCCAUUCCGCGUGCAGGAUGAAGGCCCUCGGGUUGUAAACUGCUUUUGUACAGAACGAAAAGGUUUCUACUAAUACUAGGAGCUCAUGACGGUACUGUAAGAAUAAGCACCGGCUAACUACGUGCCAGCCGCCGCCGUAA